GACGAACGCUGGCGGCGUGCUUAACACAUGCAAGUCGAACGGAAAGGCCCUGCUUGCAGGGUACUCGAGUGGCGAACGGGUGAGUAACACGUGGGUGAUCUGCCCUGCACUUCGGGAUAAGCCUGGGAAACUGGGUCUAAUACCGGAUAGGAGCCAUUUUUAGUGUGAUGGUUGGAAAGUUUUUUUCGGUGUAGGAUGAGCUCGCGGCCUAUCAGCUUGUUGGUGGGGUAAUGGCCUACCAAGGCGGCGACGGGUAGCCGGCCUGAGAGGGUGGACGGCCACAUUGGGACUGAGAUACGGCCCAGACUCCUACGGGAGGCAGCAGUGGGGAAGAUUGCACAAUGGGCGCAAGCCGGAUGCAGCGACGCCGCGUGGGGGAGGACGGCCUUCGGGUUGUAAACUCCUUUCGCUAGGGACGAAGCUUUUUGUGACGGUACCUAGAUAAGAAGCACCGGCUAACUACGUG
This 466-nucleotide ribosomal RNA is filed under the name uncultured bacterium. Its description in RNAcentral is "partial 16S ribosomal RNA". It matches the Rfam family "Bacterial small subunit ribosomal RNA", at positions 28 to 507 of the family's 1533-position model. The record is from RNAcentral.